AACCCAUGAAGAAGCUAAGCACCUGCGGAAAAAGCACAAAAACAAGCUAACACGAGGUAAGUAAAAAAUUACCAUCAUAAAGAUCAAAUUCUCUUUAGACCUAUAAAAUUCACCUUUCAGCAUAGGAUUUCAUAGACACAAUACUUCCUCAAUGGAUAAGAUCUCCUUCUAGUCCACUUAGCUGCACCUUUCCUCAUAUUCUUGCAUGUGUUCAAUUUACCCAGACAGAAGUCAUUGAAUCAAUGAUAGAUUCGAGGAAAUAUUAGUUGCAAAGGAUCAUCCCUAAAGUUGACCGCAUAAAGCACCCAAACAUAACACGCUGCAUCGUUACACUUUAUCAAAACUCGCAAGGAAAUAUUUCCAUCUAUAAAAUAGAUGCACAACCCCACUAAUACUACGGGGAAAUAUCUAAUUUCUAAAAGUUCCUAAAGUCCUCCCUAUUCCAGGAUGUUUCAAAAAAAA
Molecule: long non-coding RNA, 462 nt
Organism: Neltuma alba
Lineage: Eukaryota; Viridiplantae; Streptophyta; Magnoliopsida; Fabales; Fabaceae
Exons: 2
Source: RefSeq, a predicted model, not a curated record